Molecule: transfer RNA, 77 nt
Organism: Exidia glandulosa HHB12029
Lineage: Eukaryota; Fungi; Basidiomycota; Agaricomycetes; Auriculariales; Exidiaceae
Rfam family: tRNA
About the family: Transfer RNA (tRNA) molecules are approximately 80 nucleotides in length. Their secondary structure includes four short double-helical elements and three loops (D, anti-codon, and T loops). Further hydrogen bonds mediate the characteristic L-shaped molecular structure. tRNAs have two regions of fundamental functional importance: the anti-codon, which is responsible for specific mRNA codon recognition, and the 3' end, to which the tRNAs corresponding amino acid is attached (by aminoacyl-tRNA synthetases). tRNAs cope with the degeneracy of the genetic code in two manners: having more than one tRNA (with a specific anti-codon) for a particular amino acid; and 'wobble' base-pairing, i.e. permitting non-standard base-pairing at the 3rd anti-codon position.
Source: Rfam
GCCCGUAUGGCGUAGUGGUAGCGCGUCGCUCUUGUAUAGCUAAGCGAAGGUCGUCGGAUCAACCCCGGCUGUGGGCA